RNAcentral lists this ribosomal RNA (497 nucleotides) under uncultured bacterium. RNAcentral describes it as "partial 16S ribosomal RNA". It matches the Rfam family "Bacterial small subunit ribosomal RNA", at positions 28 to 507 of the family's 1533-position model. The record is from RNAcentral.
GAUGAACGCUGGCGGCGUGCCUAAUACAUGCAAGUCGAGCGAACAGACGAGGAGCUUGCUCCUCUGACGUUAGCGGCGGACGGGUGAGUAACACGUGUAUAACCUACCUAUAAGACUGGGAUAACUUCGGGAAACCGGAGCUAAUACCGGAUAAUAUAUUGAACCGCAUGGUUCAAUAGUGAAAGACGGUUUUGCUGUCACUUAUAGAUGGAUCCGCGCCGCAUUAGCUAGUUGGUAAGGUAACGGCUUACCAAGGCGACGAUGCGUAGCCGACCUGAGAGGGUGAUCGGCCACACUGGAACUGAGACACGGUCCAGACUCCUACGGGAGGCAGCAGUAGGGAACCUUCCGCAAUGGGCGAAAGCCUGACGGAGCAACGCCGCGUGAGUGAUGAAGGUCUUCGGAUCGUAAAACUCUGUUAUUAGGGAAAAACAAAUGUGUAAGUAACUAUGCACGUCUUGACGGUACCUAAUCAGAAAGCCACGGCUAACUACGUG